GACUGAAUCGCGUUUUAGAUUUCAGGUCUUCAGACAGAAAUGUGAAGCAUAUAAAGACUUUCCAUGCAUGUAAAACAAAACGUCGUCUCUGUCUGUGUGUCAGAGGGAGAAGACGAGGAUCUUGUUCCUUUACAACCUGCACAUUCACGGCCGGAUUUCCAGCAGCGGCAGGAAACGCAUCAUCAGCCGUGGACAGAGGACGGUGUUCCAGCGCCUGCUCAGGUGGGGGCACCGCCUUUGCUGGCAUCAUCACGGAGAGGAAGCGUCCAGCUCCGAGAAGACGCACUACGCCAGCGGUUAGAGGAGAGAGAGGAAGCUCCACCUGGAUGAAGAAGUCGUCCAGUUUUUUGUGGCAGACUCGAGCUUCAGGCAAUAAAAACACAUUCAGUUCAAACUGGACUGAAGCUUGUU
This is a long non-coding RNA of Pundamilia nyererei, 411 nucleotides long. RefSeq lists it as uncharacterized. NCBI's taxonomy places the organism in Eukaryota, Metazoa, Chordata, Actinopteri, Cichliformes, Cichlidae. The record is from RefSeq and is a predicted model, not a curated record. The transcript has 2 exons.